This 484-nucleotide ribosomal RNA is filed under the name uncultured bacterium. RNAcentral describes it as "bacterial SSU rRNA". It matches the Rfam family "Bacterial small subunit ribosomal RNA", at positions 28 to 502 of the family's 1533-position model. The record is from RNAcentral.
GAUGAACGCUGGCGGCGUGCUUAACACAUGCAAGUCGAACGGAGAUGCUAUGUGAGCGGAAGAUGCUUGCAUCCAACAAUCUUAUAGCAUCUUAGUGGCGGACGGGUGAGUAACGCGUGGGUAACCUGCCUUAUACCGGGGGAUAACACUUAGAAAUAGGUGCUAAUACCGCAUAAGCGCACGAUGCCGCAUGGCAAAGUGUGAAAAACUCCGGUGGUAUAAGAUGGACCCGCGUCUGAUUAGCUUGUUGGCGGGUAACGGCCCACCAAGGCGACGAUCAGUAGCCGGCCUGAGAGGGUGAACGGCCACAUUGGGACUGAGACACGGCCCAAAACUCCUACGGGAGGCAGCAGUGGGAAUAUUGCACAAUGGGGGAAACCCGUGAUGCAGCGACGCCGCGUGAGUGAAGAAGUAUUUCGGUAUGUAAAGCUCUAUCAGCAGGGAAGAUAAUGACAGUACCUGACUAAGAAGACCCCGGCUAACU